AGAGUUUGAUCCUGGCUCAGGAUGAACGCUGGCGGCGUGCUUAACACAUGCAAGUCGAACGGAGUGCUUUCGGGCACUUAGUGGCGGACGGGUGAGUAACGCGUGAGAAUCUGCCCUUAGGUCGGGGACAACAUCGGGAAACUGAUGCUAAUACCGGAUGAGCCGAGAGGUAAAAGCUAAAAGUGCCUAGGGAAGAGCUCGCGUCUGAUUAGCUAGUUGGUGGGGUAAGAGCCUACCAAGGCGACGAUCAGUAGCUGGUCUGAGAGGAUGAUCAGCCACACUGGGACUGAGACACGGCCCAGACACCUACGGGUGGCUGC
Molecule: ribosomal RNA, 320 nt
Filed under: uncultured bacterium
Lineage: Bacteria
Description: bacterial SSU rRNA
Rfam family: Bacterial small subunit ribosomal RNA
Source: RNAcentral